GCUAUGGGUGAAGAAGUUGUAGGUGCUGCUAACGAAGAAUUUACCAUUAGCUGUCCACCUCCAACGUAAGACAUCAAGUUCUGAAGACAGGCGAACAGGUGUUAGAAGAAUCUGCAAUUGACUAAACUCUGUUCUUGCAACUGAAUUAAAGGGGUCAUAGAAGUGUUUGUAAUCUACCUGUAUCUAGAAGAAACUCAUGCACGGUGAUCCUUGAC
Molecule: long non-coding RNA, 215 nt
Filed under: Elaeis guineensis (African oil palm)
Lineage: Eukaryota; Viridiplantae; Streptophyta; Magnoliopsida; Arecales; Arecaceae
Description: long non-coding RNA (EGUI_LNC021406)
Source: RNAcentral